AUGAACGCUGGCGCCGUGCCUAAUCCAUGCAAGUCGAGCGAACAGACGAGGAGCUUGCUCCUCUGACGUUAGCGGCGGACGGGUGAGUCACACGUGGAUAACCUACCUAUAAGACUGGGAUAACUUCGGGAAACCGGAGCUAAUACCGGAUAAUAUAUUGAACCGCAUGGUUCAAUAGUGAAAGACGGUUUUGCUGUCACUUAUAGAUGGAUCCGCGCCGCAUUAGCUAGUUGGUAAGGUAACGGCUUACCAAGGCAACGAUGCGUAGCCGACCUGAGAGGGUGAUCGGCCACACUGGAACUGAGACACGGUCCAGACUCCUACGGGAGGCAGCAGUAGGGAAUCUUCCGCAAUGGGCGAAAGCCUGACGGAGCAACGCCGCGUGAGUGAUGAAGGUCUUCGGAUCGUAAAACUCUGUUAUUAGGGAAGAACAAAUGUGUAAGUAACUAUGCACGUCUUGACGGUACCUAAUCAGAAAGCCACGGCUAACUACGUG
Molecule: ribosomal RNA, 496 nt
Filed under: uncultured bacterium
Lineage: Bacteria
Description: partial 16S ribosomal RNA
Rfam family: Bacterial small subunit ribosomal RNA
Source: RNAcentral